AACGCUGGCGGCGUGGUUAAGACAUGCAAGUCGAACGGACCAUUAAUUUAUUAGUGGUUAGUGGCGAAAGGGUGAGUAAUGGAUAGGUAACGUACCCCGGGCUCCGGGAUAGCCAGCCGAAAGGUUGGGUAAUACCGGAUAACAUCACCGACCGACGGGUGGGUGAUCAAAGAUUUAUCGGCGUGGGAGCGGCCUAUCUCCUAUCAGCUUGUUGGUGAGGUAACGGCCCACCAAGGCGAUGACGGGUAGCGGGACUGAGAGGUUGGCCCGCCACAUCGGGACUGAGACACUGCCCGGACCCCCACGGGGGGCUGCAGUAACGAAUCUUGGGCAAUGGGCGAAAGCCUGACCCAGCGACGCCGCGUGCGGGAGGAAGUCCUUCGGGAUGUAAACCGCUGUCAGACAAAGGAAAGUCCACUUCGGUGGAUUGAUCCGAGUCAGAGGAAGUCACGGCUAACUCUGUGCCAGCAGCCGCGGUAAGACAGAGGUGGCAAGCGUUGUUCGGUAUCACUGGGCUUAAAGCGUGUGUAGGCGGAAGCGUAAGCAUUUUGU
Molecule: ribosomal RNA, 552 nt
Filed under: uncultured Clostridium sp.
Lineage: Bacteria; Bacillati; Bacillota; Clostridia; Eubacteriales; Clostridiaceae
Description: bacterial SSU rRNA
Rfam family: Bacterial small subunit ribosomal RNA
Source: RNAcentral